CAACCCUCAAGCCCAGCUUGGUGUUGGGUGCCACCGGCAUGGUGCGCCCUAAAAUCAGUGGCGGUGCCAUCUGGCUUCAAGCGUAGUAAUACUUCUCGCUCUGGAGAUCUGGGUGGUUGCUUGCCAAAACCCACAUACCGUCUCAA
RNAcentral lists this unclassified non-coding RNA (146 nucleotides) under uncultured Leotiomycetes. RNAcentral's name for it is "sequence contains ITS2". The record is from RNAcentral. Lineage: Eukaryota; Fungi; Ascomycota; Leotiomycetes.